AGAGUUUGAUCGUGGCUCAGAAUCAACGCUGGCGGCGUGCCUAACACAUGCAAGUCGAACGCGAAAGCCCCGCAAGGGGUCAGUAGAGUGGCAAACGGGUGAGUAACACGUAGGUGACCUGCCUCAGAGUGGGGGAUAACGACCCGAAAGGGUCGCUAAUACCGCAUAACAUCCCGCGUUUGGAGACGUGGAGAUCAAAGCCGGGGAUCGCAAGACCUGGCGCUUAGAGAGGGGCCUGCGGCCGAUUAGCUAGUUGGUGAGGUAACGGCUCACCAAGGCAACGAUCGGUAUCCGGCCUGAGAGGGCGGACGGACACACUGGGACUGAGACACGGCCCAGACUCCUACGGGAGGCAGCAGUGGGGAAUUGUUCGCAAUGGGCGCAAGCCUGACGACGCAACGCCGCGUGGAGGACGAAGAUCUUCGGGUCGUAAACUCCUUUCGAUCGGGAAGAACGUUUUCCGGCUUAACACGCUGGAGAAGUGACGGUACCGAGAGAAGAAGCCCCGGCUAACUCUGUGCCAGCCGCCGCGGU
This 534-nucleotide ribosomal RNA is filed under the name uncultured Acidobacteriota bacterium. Its description in RNAcentral is "bacterial SSU rRNA". It matches the Rfam family "Bacterial small subunit ribosomal RNA", at positions 8 to 521 of the family's 1533-position model. The record is from RNAcentral. Lineage: Bacteria; Pseudomonadati; Acidobacteriota.